CGCGAACGCUGGCGGCGUGCCUAACACAUGCAAGUCGUGCGGAGGGGUGAUGAGCCCCUCAGCGGCAAACGGGUGAGUAACACGUGAGUAACCUGCCCCUGGGAAGGGGAUAACCCUCCGAAAGGGGGGCUAAUACCCUAUAUAGCCGGGGACCACUAAGGUCACCCGGUGAAAGGUGGCCUCCGUCCUUCACGGGCAUGCUACCGCCCAGGGAGGGGCUCGCGGCCCAUCAGGUAGUUGGUGGGGUAACGGCCUACCAAGCCUAUGACGGGUAGCCGGCCUGAGAGGGUGGCCGGCCACAGUGGGACUGAGACACGGCCCACACCCCUACGGGGGGCAGCAGUGGGGAAUCGUGGGCAAUGGGCGAAAGCCUGACCCCGCGACGCCGCGUGGGGGAUGAAGCCCUUCGGGGUGUAAACCCCUGUCGGGGGGGACGAUGUGUCCUGGGGUGAAUAAUCUCAGGGCAUGACGGUACCCCCAGAGGAAGGGACGGCUAACUACGUGCCAGCAGCCGCGGUAAUACGUAGGUCCCGAGCGUUGCGCGAAUUCACUGGGCGUAAAGCGUCCGCAGCUCGGACGGGUAAGCGGUGCGUCAAAGCUCACCGCUCAACGGUGG
This 616-nucleotide ribosomal RNA is filed under the name uncultured bacterium. RNAcentral describes it as "bacterial SSU rRNA". It matches the Rfam family "Bacterial small subunit ribosomal RNA", at positions 28 to 618 of the family's 1533-position model. The record is from RNAcentral.